GAAAAACAUCUUAUAAAAUGUGAUACGUGGUGUGAGUUGCAGGCUUCUAUGAACCACCGAAUCUUUGAAUGCAAGUUGCGCCCGAAUCCAUUAAACCGAGAAUACAUUUGCUUGGAUGUCA
Molecule: ribosomal RNA, 121 nt
Organism: Nicotiana attenuata
Lineage: Eukaryota; Viridiplantae; Streptophyta; Magnoliopsida; Solanales; Solanaceae
Rfam family: 5.8S ribosomal RNA
About the family: 5.8S ribosomal RNA (5.8S rRNA) is a component of the large subunit of the eukaryotic ribosome. It is transcribed by RNA polymerase I as part of the 45S precursor that also contains 18S and 28S rRNA. Functionally, it is thought that 5.8S rRNA may be involved in ribosome translocation.
Source: Rfam